CACACACCAGUCUCUACCUACAGAGAACAAACUACCAUGGACCAGGGGAAUCACACACCAGUCUCUACCUACAGAGAACAGUCUGAAUGACUCAAACUACCAGAACAACUAAAUGAAACUUGAGCGUUACACCUGUGGAAUGGUAUCAGGAAGGCUACCGUGUAUAACUAACUAUACAAUACUGCACAGCUUUUCAACAGUGAUGUGUUCUUUUUUAGCAACACAAUAGGGAUCUUUAAGGGACACAAUAAGAUGACCGUAUAUCACGGUCUCGUUCAUUGACCGCUGGUCUAGAAAUCAACAGUUCUGGAGAAAACAGGUAUUUACUAUGAGGGGCGUCAGGUAGCCUAGUGGUUUAGAGGGGCGUCAGGUAGCCUAGUGGUUAAGAGGGGCGUCAGGUAGCCUAGUGGUUUAGAGGGGCGUCAGGUAGCCUAGUGGUUAAGAGGGGCGUCAGGUAGCCUAGUGGUUAAGAGGGGCGUCAGGUAGCCUAGUGGUUUAGAGGGGCG
This is a long non-coding RNA of Oncorhynchus tshawytscha (Chinook salmon), 506 nucleotides long. The record is from Ensembl. NCBI's taxonomy places the organism in Eukaryota, Metazoa, Chordata, Actinopteri, Salmoniformes, Salmonidae.